This 443-nucleotide ribosomal RNA is filed under the name uncultured bacterium. RNAcentral describes it as "partial 16S ribosomal RNA". It matches the Rfam family "Bacterial small subunit ribosomal RNA", at positions 338 to 795 of the family's 1533-position model. The record is from RNAcentral.
CCUACGGGUGGCAGCAGUGGGGAAUAUUGGGCAAUGGGCGCAAGCCUGACCCAGCAACGCCGCGUGAGGGAAGAAGGUCCUCGGGUUGUAAACUUCUUUUAUUAAGGACGAAACAAAUGACGGUACUUGAUGAAGAAGCCACGGCUAACUACGUGCCAGCAGCCGCGGUAAUACGUAGGUGGCAAGCGUUAUCCGGAUUUACUGGGUGUAAAGGGCGAGUAGGCGGGACUGCAAGUCAGAUGUGAAAACCAUGGGCUCAACCCAUGGCCUGCUUGUGAAACUGUUGUUCUUGAGUGUAGGAGAGGCAAGCGGAAUUCCGAGUGUAGCGGUGAAAUGCGUAGAUAUUAGGAGGAACACCAGUGGCGAAGGCGACCUGCUGGACUGUAACUGACACUGAGGCGCGAAAGCGUGGGGAGCAAACAGGAUUAGAUACCCCAGUAGUC